This 495-nucleotide long non-coding RNA is filed under the name Chinchilla lanigera (long-tailed chinchilla). Its description in RNAcentral is "lncRNA (ENSCLAG00000022921.1)". Lineage: Eukaryota; Metazoa; Chordata; Mammalia; Rodentia; Chinchillidae. The record is from RNAcentral.
GGGAUAAUGAAGUAGAAUGUCCCUUCAUCUAGAAUGCGUUCCGUCUUGUCAUGUCCACAUCGUACAAAGGAAGUUAUACCUGCACUUAGAAUCCAUGAACACUUGAGUUUCAGAUGCUUUCUGUGGCCAAAGAGGCAAAACUAAGGAUUAGGAGUCAGAAUAGAAAACGACCUCACAGAUGCCAAUGACAGAGAAUACAGGCAACGGAGAACAGAACCACUAGACUGGCAGGUCCGAGAGCAUCCAUUUGGUGAACUGACUAAAGGUCUCCUUUCUCUCAGACACAACUACUGUCUCCAUCUCUGGAAGAUGCCCAAAGUGAAAUCAAACAUCCUAAUCAUGAGCUCCAACAUGAAACACGCACGGAGAACUUCAUGACUUUCUGAUGGAUGAGUAUAUUGUCUUUUGUGCAGCAGACUGACUCUUUCUCCUCAUGUACCGUAUUAUGUUACUCUGGAUUUUUAAGAUAGGCUAAAAGUUGUCAUUCAUAAUCAC